Molecule: ribosomal RNA, 402 nt
Filed under: bacterium
Lineage: Bacteria
Description: partial 16S ribosomal RNA
Rfam family: Bacterial small subunit ribosomal RNA
Source: RNAcentral
UGGGGAAUUUUGCACAAUGGGGGAAACCCUGAUGCAGCGACGCCGCGUGAUUUAGAAGGCCUUCGGGUUGUAAAAAUCUUUUCUAUGGGAAGAAAAUGACAGUACCAUAGGAACAAGGACCGGCUAAUUACGUGCCAGCAGCCGCGGUAAUACGUAAGGUCCGAGCGUUGUCCGGAAUCAUUGGGCGUAAAGGGUACGUAGGCGGGUAAGCAAGUUAGAAGUGAAAUCCUAUAGCUCAACUAUAGUAAGCUUUUAAAACUGCUCAUCUUGAGGUAUGGAAGGGAAAGUGGAAUUCCUAGUGUAGCGGUGAAAUGCGCAGAUAUUAGGAGGAAUACCGGUGGCGAAGGCGACUUUCUGGCCAUAACCUGACGCUGAGGUACGAAAGCGUGGGUAGCAAACAGG